Molecule: ribosomal RNA, 253 nt
Filed under: uncultured bacterium
Lineage: Bacteria
Description: partial 16S ribosomal RNA
Rfam family: Bacterial small subunit ribosomal RNA
Source: RNAcentral
UACGUAGGCAGCGAGCGUUGUUCGGAGUUACUGGGCGUAAAGGGUGUGUAGGCGGUUACUUAAGUUUGGUGUGAAAUCUCCCGGCUCAACUGGGAGGGUGCGCCGAAUACUGAGUGACUAGAGUGCGGGAGAGGAGAGUGGAAUUCCUGGUGUAACGGUGAAAUGCGUAGAUAUCAGGAGGAACACCGGUGGUGUAGACGGCUCUCUGGACCGUAACUGACGCUGAGACACGAAAGCGUGGGUAGCAAACAGG